UACGGAGGGGGUUAGCGUUGUUCGGAAUUACUGGGCGUAAAGCGCACGUAGGCGGAUCAGAAAGUUGGGGGUGAAAUCCCGGGGCUCAACCCCGGAACUGCCUCCAAAACUCCUGGUCUUGAGUUCGAGAGAGGUGAGUGGAAUUCCAGUGUAGAGGUGAAAUUCGAUAGAUAUUGGAGAACACCAGUGGCGAAGGCGGCUCACUGGUCCGUAGA
This 215-nucleotide ribosomal RNA is filed under the name uncultured bacterium. Its description in RNAcentral is "partial 16S ribosomal RNA". It matches the Rfam family "Bacterial small subunit ribosomal RNA", at positions 524 to 740 of the family's 1533-position model. The record is from RNAcentral.